UUGACCCAGUGUGGGCCGGUCGGUCUGCUAUGUUUUUUUGUUUGUUUGUUUGUAGUUGUUCUCCCUCCAAUCAGCCGCCAAUUGGCUACUGGGGGCUAGCAGUGUUACCAGCAUCGCCACAUAUAAUUAGUCUAUUGUUGGUCAUUGUCAAUCAAUCAUGGGCUGGCAGGUUCAGAGAGCCCUGACAGUGCUAUAGUAGUAGUGAGCGUCUUUGAAUAAGACUUUGGAUAAGAGGAAGAAACACCCGGUGGUGCUGAGAAACAGCAAUUAAAAAAGUUGAAGUCUCUGGAGGUGGAGGCUUCUAAUGUUCAAAGUUGACAGACUUUUUUGAUGCCGGGACCACCAACCUGCCAGCAACCACAGGUGCUGCUGCACCCAGAGACGAGGGAGGAGGACCUAAUGAUGAUGAGUGAGUGGAGGCAGACAUGGUGGCUUGUGAGCGCACAUUUUCAAUCCUGAAGUUUAUUAAAUACAGACUCAGAAGCACCCUGUCAUCUGACAGAUUGGAGUCAUUUAUGUUGAUGGCCACAGAGAAAGACAUUCUCAUGGCCUUGGACUCUAAUUCGGUGAUAGACAGACUUGCAGAAAAGAGUGAGCAGCUUAAAAAGCUGCUCCACUGAUAAGACCACUUGACACUGAGGAGUUGUUCCCCCUCCGUCCAUGUUCGAGGACUUGCUCUCUCUCUCUGCCACCAUUCUCUGCCUUUACUGCACCAAAGUUUGGCUGUUGACUCUCCUGUAGUAUGCUGCAAUAAUUACACCAGCUGCUAGAGGUCGCCACCUAAUGACGCAAAUAUGGGUCGUCAUAAGCUGCACCCAUUUUUUAGCCUGUGAAGACGGGCUCCUCAUCAGCAGAGUCACAGCACUACGGCAUCUCUCUCAGGAACUGCUCUUUUAAAUUUCAUGUGGGUGAUGUCACCUUUUCGCCCCCGGCAUACAACAAAUGACACAUGGCUUGUAAAGAAACACUGUAUCAGAGCAUUCAGUUAUUAGAUAGCGUCAAAUGCAGCGGCUGUUAUGGACCUCACAUGUUGACCCGUUGGUCGCAGGUGUAACUAACAACAUUAAUUGCGUUGGCAUCUCAUCUAGGUGUUCCAGUGUCGCGGUCCUGCUGUGACAUAAGCUGUCUCACUGACAUGGCCUAUGUAGAAUGAAAGCAUAAUUACUGUUACCACAGCGCAAGUCGCUUUGCCUCCGACUGUUGCAUGCAACAAAAUGGCAGCAGCUCAUUAUAUGUGUGCAGUGUCGCUCUGACAUGAGUAACUUGCCGUCUACGCAGGCUAGCAUGUGAACUAAUAAAUAAGGAUCAGCCUUUAAAGCUGAAAUACAUAAAUGGAUGUGUUAACUUCAUCGUGAUGACUAAUGCACUAACCACUGUGUCCAUUUAAAUAAAAACUGACAGUUGUGUUCACAUUCA
Molecule: long non-coding RNA, 1416 nt
Organism: Acanthopagrus latus (yellowfin seabream)
Lineage: Eukaryota; Metazoa; Chordata; Actinopteri; Spariformes; Sparidae
Exons: 4
Source: RefSeq, a predicted model, not a curated record